Long non-coding RNA from Oreochromis aureus, 1123 nucleotides. The record is from Ensembl. NCBI's taxonomy places the organism in Eukaryota, Metazoa, Chordata, Actinopteri, Cichliformes, Cichlidae.
CUCAUGUCAACACGUCUUAAACAUAUAUACUUUACACGUAGCAAGAGUAGCAUUGGGUAGUUAACUACCUGCUUAGUUAGCCAACUACCUAACGCUAUUAUAAAAGUGUCUAACAACAAAAGUGACAUUAGUUAAACCUCAACUAUAAACACCGUUUAAGGAAACAUGUAAUGUAGAGAAUUGACAUCAAAUGAAACACAUAGCGGAGUAACGUAGUGUUUGCAUUUCACGUUAGCUAACGUUUCUUUGUCGGUUAAUUUACGUUUUCUUACCUUCGUAGUUGUGUAUAUAUGAUGCAGCAUAUAACUUAAAUCCUUUAUCUAACAUGCUGACGGGGUUUGUCGUCACUCUGUAAAUCCGAUGAACAUCAGUGAUGUUCAAAUUUGGGAGCUCUUGUAGGACGAGUGCAAACGCGGAGGUCGGAUUAUGAAUGAGUGGGAGGAGUUGCGCUAUUAGAAGGAAGAUUACAUGACGCGUCAAAAGGCUGAGUGCUUUGAAGUUCAGCCGUGCUUUGAAGUGCGGCCGUUAGGUCACGCCUACUGAGGGCAUAAAUAGAAGUCAAAAACAGCAUUAGUGUGUGUUAGUCUGUUCCUCUGGCUUUGCGUUUCUUAACGUUUUGUCCAUUUCCAUCAGCAUCGGCGGAGCCUUGGGCAUACGCUGUGCGAUUUUUUCAGUGGCGUUAUUCAGCGCCUGCUCAAACUGUACGAUUGACUCGCAGGGGUUAGAAGUUCGUAGGUCACGAUGCAGGGUCUCACACUAUACGGCCCGAUGCUCUGAUGCGACCUGAGUGCUCACACUAAGCAUCAAUCUGUCCCUCUCUCUCCCUCUCUGUCUUUCACUCACACAGACACACACACCACCACCAUCAACUGUGCUAAAUUGCUAAUGAAAAAUAUUGAUCAGGCAGCUGUGAUUGAGCAGCAAUGUCCAUUCAAAUAUUUUCACGGUUGUUGUGGUCGUGAUAAUUUUGUGAGGAGACAUCGAAAAGGCUCGGAAGAGCUUGCAAAAGUUCUACAAGUUGUGCUUUCAUCGCUUGUGUCCAGAUCACAUGCUGCACUACUGUGCUGCUCCGUCUUUUCGCCUUCAUUUCUGUGUUUGCGCGUGCGCAGUGUGAGAGGCUGCA